This 408-nucleotide ribosomal RNA is filed under the name uncultured bacterium. RNAcentral's name for it is "partial 16S ribosomal RNA". It matches the Rfam family "Bacterial small subunit ribosomal RNA", at positions 28 to 526 of the family's 1533-position model. The record is from RNAcentral.
GACGAACGCUGGCAGCGUGCUUAACACAUGCAAGUCGAACGAAGUGGCGAACGGGUGAGUAACGCGUAAUCAACCUGCCCUUCAGAGGGGGACAACAGUUGGAAACGACUGCUAAUACCGCAUACGGAAGGAGGGGAUUGAGGCUGAUUAGCUAGUUGGAGGGGUAACGGCCCACCAAGGAGAUGAUCAGUAGCCGGUCUGGAGAGAUGAACUGCCCAAUUUGGGCUGGGACACGGCCCAGACUCCUACGGGAGGCAGCAGUUGGGAAUCUUCCGCAAUGGACGGAAGUCUGACGGAGCAACGCCGCGUGAGUGAUGACGGCCUUCGGGUUGUAAAGCUCUGUUAAUCGGGACGCGGUACCGGAAUAGAAAGCCACGGCUAACUACGUGCCAGCAGCCGCGGUAAUAC